RNAcentral lists this small RNA (2329 nucleotides) under Pan troglodytes (chimpanzee). RNAcentral describes it as "processed transcript". Lineage: Eukaryota; Metazoa; Chordata; Mammalia; Primates; Hominidae. The record is from RNAcentral.
GACGUUCUCCCCUGGUGAAUGACUUGUUUUUGUGUAUUUUCUUUGUCUCUCGUAAUGCAUCUGCACUGACCUGCAGAUUUUAUUUUGUCCUUUUUGCAGACUGGAAGUGUCUCCAGAGGCGCAACCCACAGCCAGGCUUCCUUCCCCCACUGACUCCCCUUCCUCUCUUCCUCCUCUUCCUUCUAGCUCUGGCCAGGCACCUGUCCCCUCUGAAUUGGGACAUGGUGCAGACACACAGUCCUCUGAGAGUCCUUCUGUCUUCUCCCCUCUCUCAUCUCCCAUAGCAGCUCCCAUUUCCACAUCCACUCCAAUUGAAAGCUGGCCUCUCGUAGACAGGGGCCAGGCCAAGUCUGAAGAACCACCCUUGCUCCCUAAGGCAGAGUUGCAAACUGAGAGUUUAACACCGGUUCCAAAUUCUGGUUCUUCUGCCCUGGGAUCACUUUUCAAACAGCCAUCCUUUCCAGCAAAUAAAGGGACAGAAGAUUCUCUGAUGGGCAGGACCCGUGAGACAGGCACAGAGAAGAACACCAGCAGCCUUGAGUUGGAGGAGUCUCUCCCAGAGCAGCCUGAAACAGGGCGACAAGAGGAAGAACUUCCGAGAUUCCCCUGCAAAAAACAAGACUACAGCCCAUCAUCUGGAGAAGCCCAGGAAGUACCGUUUGCCCUUUCACUCAGCAGUGAUGGAGCUGUGAGCCCUGUUGGGGAGCUUGCAGCAGGAGGAGACAGAGACUUGGAGAGUCAGGCUGGGUCUCUUGUGGAGAGCAAAGCCAGGGAUGCAGUUGAAGAAGUGGCGCCCCCUCUUCCCAUGGGAGCAUCGGUCCCUUCCAUUGAUUCCAUGAUGCAGAAGCUGGAAGAGAUGGGUCUGAACCUCCGCAAGGACCAGAAGAAAACCAAGAAGCGUGUGUCAUUUUCUGAGCAGCUCUUCACGGAAGAGGCAGUGGCGGGGGCUGCCUUGCUGGUGGAAGGACACAGCAGUUGUCCCCAGGAGCUGAACCCUGCAUGGUCUGUUGCUGGAAACGCGUCUGACGGAGAGCCUCCUGAGUCUCCCCACGCAGAGGACUCAGAAAGGGAAUCGGUGACCACACCUGGGCCAGCGACGUGCGGUGCGCCAGCCUCCCCAGCGGAUCACCUCCUCCUCCCCUCCCAGGAGGAGAGUUUCUCCGAAGUCCCCAUAAGUGAAGCAAGCUCAGCGAAAGACACUCCACUCUUUAGGAUGGAGGGAGAGGAUGCCCUUGUGACUCAGUAUCAGAGCAAAGCCAGUGACCACGAAGGUUUAUUGUCUGACCCCUUGAGUGACCUUCAGUUGGUCUCAGAUUUUAAAUCUCCAAUCAUGGCCGAUCUGAACUUAAGCCUUCCUUCCAUUCCUGAAGUCGCAUCGGAUGAUGAAAGAAUAGAUCAGGUUGAAGAUGACGGAGAUCAGGUUGAAGAUGAUAGAGAGACAGCAAAGUCGUCAACUCUGGACAUAGGAGCUUUGUCCUUGGGCUUGGUAGUCCCCUGUCCUGAGAGGGGAAAGGGGCCCAGUGGCGAGGCAGAUAGGUUGGUACUGGGGGAGGGCCUGUGUGAUUUCAGGCUGCAAGCACCCCAGGCAUCUGUGACAGCUCCUUCAGAGCAGACCACAGAGUUCGGAAUUCACAAACCACAUCUUGGCAAGAGCUCAAGCUUGGAUAAACAGCUGCCAGGCCCCAGUGGUGGCGAGGAAGAAAAACCGAUGGGAAAUGGGAGUCCAAGCCCGCCUCCUGGCACAUCCCUGGACAAUCCUGUACCCAGCCCCUCCCCUUCUGAGAUCUUUCCUGUCACACACUCUUUCCCCAGCUCUGCACAUUCUGACACUCACCACACCAGCACAGCAGAAUCUCAAAAAAAAGCCACAGCAGAGGGCUCCGCUGGUAGAGUUGAAAAUUUUGGCAAGAGGAAGCCACUCCUCCAGGCCUGGGUCUCACCCUCGGAGACACAUCCAGUCUCAGCUCAGCCAGGCGCUGGAACUGGGUCAGCCAAGCACAGACUUCAUCCUGUGAAGCCAAUGAAUGCAACGGCCACCAAGGUUGCUAACUGCAGCUUGGGAACUGCCACCAUCAUCAGUGAGAACUUGAACAAUGAGGCCAUGAUGAAGAAAUACAGCCCCUCGGACCCUGCAUUUGCAUAUGCGCAGCUGACCCACGAUGAGCUGAUCCAGCUGGUCCUCAAACAGAAGGAAACGAUAAGCAAGAAGGAGUUCCAGGUCCGCGAGCUGGAAGACUACAUUGACAACCUGCUUGUCAGAGUCAUGGAAGAAACCCCCAAUAUCCUCCGCAUCCCGACUCAGGUUGGCAAAAAAGCAGGAAAGAUGUAA